Molecule: ribosomal RNA, 253 nt
Filed under: uncultured bacterium
Lineage: Bacteria
Description: partial 16S ribosomal RNA
Rfam family: Bacterial small subunit ribosomal RNA
Source: RNAcentral
GACGGACCUUCCAAACGUUAUUCGGUAUCACUGGGCUUAAAGGGUGCGUAGGCGGUCUCGUAAGUCGGGUGUGAAAUCCCUCGGCUCAACCGAGGAAGUGCGCCCGAAACUGCGGGGCUAGAGGGAGGUAGAGGCGAGUGGAACUUGCGGUGGAGCGGUGAAAUGCGUUGAUAUCGCAAGGAACACAGGUGGCGAAGGCGGCUCGCUGGGCCUUCCCUGACGCUGAGGCACGAAAGCUAGGGGAGCGAACGGG